RNAcentral lists this ribosomal RNA (524 nucleotides) under uncultured bacterium. Its description in RNAcentral is "bacterial SSU rRNA". It matches the Rfam family "Bacterial small subunit ribosomal RNA", at positions 355 to 896 of the family's 1533-position model. The record is from RNAcentral.
UGGGGAAUAUUGGACAAUGGACCGAGAGUCUGAUCCAGCAAUUCUGUGUGCACGAUGAAGUUUUUCGGAAUGUAAAGUGCUUUCAGUUGGGAAGAAAAAAAUGACGGUACCAACAGAAGAAGUGACGGCUAAAUACGUGCCAGCAGCCGCGGUAAUACGUAUGUCACGAGCGUUAUCCGGAUUUAUUGGGCGUAAAGCGCGUCUAGGUGGUUAUGUAAGUCUGAUGUGAAAAUGCAGGGCCCAACUCUGUAUUGCGUUGGAAACUGUAUAACUAGAGUACUGGAGAGGUAAGCGGAACUACAAGUGUAGAGGUGAAAUUCGUAGAUAUUUGUAGGAAUGCCGAUGGGGAAGCCAGCUUACUGGACAGAUACUGACGCUAAAGCGCGAAAGCGUGGGUAGCAAACAGGAUUAGAUACCCUGGUAGUCCACGCUGUAAACGAUGAUUACUAGGUGUUGGGGGUCGAACCUCAGCGCCCAAGCAAACGCGAUAAGUAAUCCGCCUGGGGAGUACGUACGCAAGUAUG